This 661-nucleotide ribosomal RNA is filed under the name uncultured bacterium. RNAcentral describes it as "bacterial SSU rRNA". It matches the Rfam family "Bacterial small subunit ribosomal RNA", at positions 202 to 857 of the family's 1533-position model. The record is from RNAcentral.
CAAGACCUCGCGCGUGAAGAGGAGCCCGCGCCCGAUUAGCUAGUCGGCGGGGUAAGAGCCCACCAAGGCUUCGAUCGGUAGCCGGCCUGAGAGGGCGGUCGGCCACACUGGCACUGAGACACGGGCCAGACUCCUACGGGAGGCAGCAGUGGGGAAUUAAAUGGGCAAUGGGCGAAAGCCUGACCCAGCAACGCCGCGUGAAGGACGAAAUCCCUCUGGGAUGUAAACUUCGAAAGUCGGGGAAGGAAUCGCGCAGGAUGACCCUGCGUGGAUGACGGUACCCGACGUAAGCCCCGGCUAACUACGUGCCAGCAGCCGCGGUAAUACGUAGGGGGCAAGCGUUGUUCGGAAUUAUUGGGCGUAAAGGGGGCGUAGGCGGCACAGCAAGUCGGGAGUGAGGGCCCGGGGCUCAACCCCGGAACUGCUUUCGAAACUGCUGAGCUAGAGUACAGAAGGGGCAACCGGAAUUCCCAGUGUAGCGGUGAAAUGCGUAGAUAUGGGGAAGAACACCUGAGGCGAAGGCGGGUUGCUGGGCUGAUACUGACGCUGAGGCGCGAAAGCCAGGGGAGCAAACGGGAUUAGAUACCCCGGUAGUCCUGGCCCUAAACGAUGGAUACUUGGUGUGUGGGGUUCUCUGAGUCCCCGCGUGCCGGAGCUAACG